This 250-nucleotide ribosomal RNA is filed under the name uncultured bacterium. RNAcentral's name for it is "partial 16S ribosomal RNA". It matches the Rfam family "Bacterial small subunit ribosomal RNA", at positions 57 to 305 of the family's 1533-position model. The record is from RNAcentral.
GCAAGUCGAGGGGCAGCAUGGGACUUCGGUCCUGAUGGCGACCGGCGCACGGGUGAGUAACGCGUACACGACCUACCUUUAACUGGAGGAUAGCCCUGGGAAACUGGGAUUAAUACUGCAUAAUAUUAUAAGUAAUAAAGGUUUAUAAUCAAAGCUUAGGCGGUUAAAGAUGGGUGUGCGUUCCAUUAGCUAGUUGGUAAGGUAACGGCUUACCAAGGCUACGAUGGGUAGGGGGCGUGAGAGCGUGAUC